Long non-coding RNA from Acanthochromis polyacanthus (spiny chromis), 685 nucleotides. RefSeq lists it as uncharacterized. The record is from RefSeq and is a predicted model, not a curated record. The transcript is spliced from 3 exons. NCBI's taxonomy places the organism in Eukaryota, Metazoa, Chordata, Actinopteri, Pomacentridae.
CCUCAAAAUGGUUUGAUCCUGCUCAACUUUCCCAACUCGGGCUCUGAGCCGCUACUUGCAGAGCUAAGCGCUGCCCCACAGAAGGUAAUGUGCUGUAGUGGUGUGGGUACUUGGUUUGAACUUCUACCACUCAGUACCAACACAUUAUUAUCAUUACCAGUCCUCAUUUUUGCUGCAUUUGAUCAAAGGUUACUGUUUAUGUUGUUAGGUAGGAGUUAGCAUGAAUUAAUAUUAAAGCCAAGGUGCUACUGACUAGCUAACUGACCGGAUGCCCAUUAACAUUAUAACUCCUAUUGUGUGAGUGUGCAGACAGACAGCCUCAUCAUGGACAUAAGAUUGUUUUUUUCGAAGAAAAGAGCCAGGUUCAGCUGAAUACAAUCUAUUUGUGUAUGAUUGUCAGUCCAAAGAGGGAGAGAUGAAAAAGGGGAAGGAGAAGAAAGAGUGCAAGGUCAGGAAGAACCAGGAAGAGAACAAGGAGAGACUCUGGGAGAUGAGAGCGUGCAGACCAGGGAAAGAAAUGCUGUGCAUCACAUUUCAAAUAAAAGUCAAAAACUAAGUCCUCGGUCCAUUUUUGUUUUGUUUUUUUGGUGCUUGGUAUAGGGGGCUGGUUUACUCCAGAAACAUACAUGCUGUUUAUGUGUAUGUUGAGGAGCUGCUGUAUCUAAAUGAGUCGUCUUUUCCCAGA